RNAcentral lists this unclassified non-coding RNA (227 nucleotides) under Hevea brasiliensis (rubber tree). Lineage: Eukaryota; Viridiplantae; Streptophyta; Magnoliopsida; Malpighiales; Euphorbiaceae. The record is from RNAcentral.
AGGAGAUGCACAGAAAUUCUAAAACUAUUACGAGCAAAACUGUAAAUGUAUUGAUUGAAUCAAUAUGCUUACUGUUUAAAGGAAGGGGGAUACAGAGGAUAUUAUCAGACUGCUCAAUGAAUCAAAGUUCUGUUUCAUUAUAUUUUCAUCUCUCUCAGGACAUUUUAUUCUGCAGAAUAUUUAAAUGUAAUAGAUGUAGUGUUUCUAUGAUGACUUUGAAACCCUUU